Molecule: ribosomal RNA, 406 nt
Filed under: uncultured bacterium
Lineage: Bacteria
Description: partial 16S ribosomal RNA
Rfam family: Bacterial small subunit ribosomal RNA
Source: RNAcentral
AUUGAACGCUGGCGGCAGGCCUAACACAUGCAAGUCGAACGAGUGGCGGACGGGUGAGUAAUGUCUUGGAAACUGCCUGAUGUAGGGGUCUAACUACUGGAAACGGUAGCUAAUACCGCAUACCAUCAGAUGUGCCCAGAGGGGAUUAGCUGGUUGGUGUGGUAACGGCUCACCAAGGCGACGAUCCCUAGCUGGUCUGAGAGGAUGACCAGCCACACUGGAACUGAGACACGGUCCAGACUCCUACGGGAGGCAGCAGUGGGGAAUAGUGCACAAUGGGCGAAAGCCUGAUACAGCAAUGCCGCGUGUAUGAAGAAGGCCUUCGGGUUGUAAAGUACUGUCAGCGGGGAGGCGUUACCCGAAGAAGAAGCACCGGCUAACUCCGUGCCAGCAGCCGCGGUAAUUC